Molecule: long non-coding RNA, 1839 nt
Filed under: Rattus norvegicus (Norway rat)
Lineage: Eukaryota; Metazoa; Chordata; Mammalia; Rodentia; Muridae
Description: long non-coding RNA NONRATT002710
Source: RNAcentral
UGGAAAGUACAAGCCUGUCAAAGUGUGGAGGUAUCAGGAGGUAACUUGAUGUGGGAGUCAGACCAGAGGUGUGCAGAUCUCCAUUAAGUACAAUUGAUUUAUGACGUUGUGACUUGUUUUCUUCUUACUGUGUAAUAAGGCAAGGUGUAAGUGUGUGAGGCGGCUGCUACGGUUGCCAAGACAUUCAGUGCCAACAUCCGGUCCCUGCCUUAGAAUUUGUAGAUUCUAGCCAGUCAAGAACCUCAGUGAACUAGGCCCAGUCACAGCCUUAAAGAGAAGCUGAGCGGGUGGCUCCUCUUCCCUCUCACAGGUAUCCGACAGUGUGCCACACAUGUUCUUUUGAAAGAAUCGGAGCUAUAAUAUAGGUCUCACAAUGACUGGAGCAUUACUUUCCUAUCAUUCAGAAUGUUUCCUGAAUAGCUAGGCAAGACAGAAUUGCAUCAGCUCAGUUUUCUUCAUAAGUGACAGUGACAGCAUCAUCAUCAGUAAGUUGACGAUUGGACGUAAUUUUUGAGAGGAUUGAAGUGAUUGAAAGUAUAGAAGUAAUUUUUAGCUCAUUUUCAUAAGUAAUAUUUUUGACAUAGGAAGGCUGUCUCAGCUGAGUGGGAAGAGGGGCAGCAUACAACAGCCUUCAUCGGAAGCCUUCCUCCUGUUAGCACCAACAUCACAUUCUCUUCCCUUUGUCUAAGAACGUGGCUUAUGCAAAGAGAAGGCUUGGUUCAGUGGCUGGUGCUGCAUUUAUUACCUAAUGGCAUGCUUCCCUACUCUAGAGGACAAGUGACAUACAGGUUUACUCCUUGCUUGGGAUAACUAGAAUACACUGCUUCUGGCGGCUGCUGGCUGGCUGCCUCUGCUGUUCCGAGGCCAUGUGUAUGUCUAUGGCCCACCCCACAGAUAUGAUAAUGUGCUCAGACUUCCCCCAAGGCUAGACAUAUCACAGGGACUAAAUGGUGACUUGAAUCUCAUUAAUGUGAGUGAAAAGAGGAAACAGGAUGCUUGAUAAGAAACUAGGAAAUGGCUAUUAGAAAUCAUAUACAUCUAAACAAUUUGCUUAUGUUAUGGAUAGUAAUGUAGAGGUGAGUUUUCUAUUAUUUAAGGUGUAAAUAACAAAACAUAACAUUGAAUGUAGCUUCCAAAUGUUAUGGCCAAGUUGCUAAAACCUAAGAAAAACUAUCAGAUGCAAAAUGGUAACCAAUGUAUGCAAGCUUCAGUCUUAAUCGUAAUUCUGAGACUGAUAUAGCUGAUGAUAAAAGAGUUACAUAUAUAAUUACAGAAGGUCUCUGUGACUGCUUGCAUGUUUCAGAAACAUCUGUAAAUAGGUCUUUUAUCUAGUUUGUGUUAUGAUUAUAUCUAGAAUGUGAUUUAUUAGUUUUCUAAUAUAUUUUGAGCCCAAUAUUAUGUACUCUGCAUUGUCUUUGAGUAUAUGAGCAUCCAUACACCUUCUUAUAUAAAAUUCCCUUUGGCCAUGUCUUUAAGUAAAAUGUUUCUACUCCAUCUUAAAGAAAUUGUGAGCUGUCUUCAUAGUUAGGGACACACCCAUUCUCGGGUUAAUAAUGGAAAGCUAACGAAUGACUGCCUGGGGGAGCCAUGUUGCUCAUCCUGUAAAGAAGAAAUGUUAUUAUGGUGUUAUUACUCUUGCUUUUAGAUGAAAAAGGAAAGAGCUGUAAAGAGGCUCUGCACAUCGUCCCUAGAACCAUGAAAAUUUGACAUAAAAUUUGAAUUUAUGUUUACCCAGAAAUUUCGCUUAUUUUCACUGUUAAGAAUUAUACUGUGUCCUUGGAAGAUGAAAAUCUACCUUGUCAAUUUUGAAUAAAGUAUAUAAUUUAACGUAUUGGCAAG